AGCAGCCGCGGUAAUUCCAGCUCCAAUAGCGUAUAUUAAAGUUGUUGCAGUUAAAAGGCUCGUAGUUGAAUUUCGGGGUUAGUAGAUUGGUCGUGCCACGGGUAUGUACUGGUCUUACUGAUUCCUCCUUCCUGAUGAACCGUAAUGCCAUUAAUUUGGUGUUGCGGGGAGAUUGGACUGUUACUUUGAAAAAAUUAGAGUGUUUAAAGCAGGCUUACGCUUGAAUACAUUAGCAUGGAAUAAUGAAAUAGGACGUUCGAUCCUAUUUUGUUGGUUUCUAGGAUUGACGUAAUGAUUAAUAGGGAUAGUUGGGGGCAUUAGUACUCAAUUGUCAGAGGUGAAAUUCUUGGAUUUAUUGAAGACUAACUACUGCGAAAGCAUUUGCCAAGGAUGUUUUCUAUUAAUCAAGAACGAAAGUUAGGGGAUCGAAGACGAUCAGAUACCGUCGUAGUCUUAACCAUAAACUAUGCCGACUAGGGAUCGGAUGAUGUUAAUUUUUUAAUGUACUCACUCGGCGCCU
Molecule: ribosomal RNA, 520 nt
Filed under: uncultured Glomus
Lineage: Eukaryota; Fungi; Glomeromycota; Glomeromycetes; Glomerales; Glomeraceae
Description: SSU rRNA
Rfam family: Eukaryotic small subunit ribosomal RNA
Source: RNAcentral